GCCGAGCUUGGUAACGCAAGCUUGUGACCCAAGGGGGGGCAUGAUAGUGUUGGAACGUUGGCUCAGCUUAUCGAGUUGGAUCCUUGGUGGUCGACAUCUGGCCUGUCCAUUCUAAGCAAGGAGUUGAACCACGGGACUUGUAGCUAAAGCUCUGGGUCUCGUGGCUCUAGGAGUGGAGGGUACCGCGUGAGGCUGGCUUCACAGAGCAGCGAAGACUUCCCGCUCUUGGCAGUGGAAGGAUAACAGGCCGGUGCCGCUUGGAUCCGAUAUGGCUCAGUGGGCUGAUCGUAACUGGACCAUCACCUAC
Molecule: signal recognition particle RNA, 307 nt
Filed under: Theobroma cacao (cacao)
Lineage: Eukaryota; Viridiplantae; Streptophyta; Magnoliopsida; Malvales; Malvaceae
Description: SRP RNA Plant_SRP
Rfam family: Plant signal recognition particle RNA
Source: Rfam by way of RNAcentral